This 94-nucleotide signal recognition particle RNA is filed under the name Deltaproteobacteria bacterium. Its description in RNAcentral is "signal recognition particle sRNA small type". It matches the Rfam family "Bacterial small signal recognition particle RNA". From Rfam's summary of the family: The signal recognition particle (SRP) is a universally conserved ribonucleoprotein involved in the co-translational targeting of proteins to membranes. The record is from RNAcentral. Lineage: Bacteria; Pseudomonadati; Myxococcota; Myxococcia.
UUUGGUGAUCCGCGCAACUGAAAGGUACGAACCGUGUCAGAUCCGAAAGGAAGCAGCACUAAGUAUUGGAAGGUGUGUGCGGAUCACUUUCGCC